GUGCUCACUUAGGCAGCACAUAUACUAGAAUUGGAACAAUACAGAGAAGAUUAUCAUGGCCCCUGUGCGAGGAUAACAUGCAAAUUCAUGAAGCGUGCAUAUAAAAA
This 107-nucleotide small nuclear RNA is filed under the name Nannospalax galili (Upper Galilee mountains blind mole rat). The record is from RNAcentral. Lineage: Eukaryota; Metazoa; Chordata; Mammalia; Rodentia; Spalacidae.